RNAcentral lists this ribosomal RNA (253 nucleotides) under uncultured bacterium. RNAcentral describes it as "partial 16S ribosomal RNA". It matches the Rfam family "Bacterial small subunit ribosomal RNA", at positions 524 to 776 of the family's 1533-position model. The record is from RNAcentral.
UACGAAGGGGGCUAGCGUUGCUCGGAAUCACUGGGCGUAAAGCGCACGUAGGCGGGUUCUUAAGUCAGGGGUGAAAUCCUGGAGCUCAACUCCAGAACUGCCUUCGAUACUGGAAAGCUCGAGUCCGGGAGAGGUGAGUGGAACUGCGAGUGUAGAGGUGAAAUUCGUAGAUAUUCGCAAGAACACCAGUGGCGAAGGCGGCUCACUGGCCCGGUACUGACGCUGAGGUGCGAAAGCGUGGGGAGCAAACAGG